This 253-nucleotide ribosomal RNA is filed under the name uncultured bacterium. Its description in RNAcentral is "partial 16S ribosomal RNA". It matches the Rfam family "Bacterial small subunit ribosomal RNA", at positions 524 to 776 of the family's 1533-position model. The record is from RNAcentral.
UACGAACCGUGCGAACGUUGUUCGGAAUCACUGGGCUUAAAGGGCGCGUAGGCGGGCUGCCAAGUCCGGGGUGAAAUCUUUCGGCCCAACCGGAAAAGUGCCUUGGAUACUGGCGGCCUGGAGGGAGGCAGGGGCGGAUGGAACUUCCGGUGGAGCGGUGAAAUGCGUUGAUAUCAUUUGGAACGCCAAUGGUGAAAACAGGUAGCUGGGAGUGUGCUGACACUGAGACACGAAAGCCAGGGGAGCGAACGGG